UGCUCUCUGCGAUGUUUGCCAGUGGGUCCGGAUAAUGCCUUGUCCCUACUUUUAGUCUUCGGGAAGGCAAACGUGGUGCUGGUGUGCACGUUCGUUCCGCGAACCGCCUGAAAGCACGACGCGCUUUCCCACUUGAACCUCCGGUUCAAGGUUUCCGGGACUGCAGCGGCAUUCGUGGAGAGCAC
RNAcentral lists this non-coding RNA (185 nucleotides) under Gammaproteobacteria bacterium. RNAcentral's name for it is "6S RNA". It matches the Rfam family "6S / SsrS RNA". Rfam says of the family: E. coli 6S RNA was the first non coding RNA to be sequenced, but its function was unknown until recently. The record is from RNAcentral. Lineage: Bacteria; Pseudomonadati; Pseudomonadota; Gammaproteobacteria.